RNAcentral lists this transfer RNA (63 nucleotides) under Bambusiphaga luodianensis. Its description in RNAcentral is "tRNA-His". The record is from RNAcentral. Lineage: Eukaryota; Metazoa; Arthropoda; Insecta; Hemiptera; Delphacidae.
AUUACAUUAGUUUAAAAAUAAAAUUUCAUUUUGUGAUGAUGAAGAUUCAUAUAGAAUGUAAUA